This is a long non-coding RNA of Oenanthe melanoleuca, 3293 nucleotides long. RefSeq lists it as uncharacterized. Lineage: Eukaryota; Metazoa; Chordata; Aves; Passeriformes; Muscicapidae. The record is from RefSeq and is a predicted model, not a curated record. The transcript has 4 exons.
GGCAGCAUUUCAAAGUAUAUUUAACAAGAGCUUCAGCUAGAAGAGGUGAUGUUUACAACAACCAGGACAGAACCUUUUACACAUCCUGUCAUCACAUGAGGUCUGAUAAUUGCUGAACAGUUUGUUCUGGUCAAGGGUUCUCAGCCAUGGUCAGUUAGCUUUCUCAGAGUUGUAUUUAAUUUUAAUUAAAUCAGAGUUGCUAUAUAUAAUCUUAGCUAUUUUUAUUAUCCUUUGCCCAUGCUGCUGGUAGUGGUGUGAUGACAGUGUGAGUAGCACAGCUUAGCUGGUCUCUGCUGUGAGCAGAGCUGCUCUGCUGGGGCUCUAGGCUGGAUUUGGGGCUCUGUGAGCCAGCUGGGCACUGGGGCGGGUCCUGGGGCUGCUGCCCCUCCCCUGUACCUGCAGCAAAGAUUCACUGCCUGCAGCAAAAUCUGUGCCUUGAUGUACUUUGUUUUCCUGUCACCUUGCUGCUGCCUUUUCUGUGCUGCAGAAGCUCUUAGAGCCAUGCCUGCUGCAUCCUUUUAAAGCCUUGCCAAGUUCCCACUUUGGUCCAGCUGAUUGCCUGGAGGCACUGGUUUGUGAUCAGGUUUUUAAUGCCUUUUUUACAGGCAUCUACCAGAGAGGAUUUUUUGCAUAUGGAACUAAUGCUGCUAUUUUUUUUCCUGUCCCCUUCUAAUCUCUGUGAUAGUCAGGGAUGUAGGAAUUUUUCCACAUGUGGACUUUCAUCCCCUACUCUACACGUGUAUACUGCAAACCCCAGAAACCUGUAGGCAGGGUCCCAAGGAAUUCAGUGGCACACUGUGGUGCAAUUAUUGCUGGAUAUCAAGAGGAAAAUCCUUGAGCUAAAUCUGCUCCCACAAGUCUUCUUUAUUUAUACUCAUGUUGCUUUCCUGCUGCUGAGAUCUGGAAGUGCUUGUCAAGCCUUCAGCUGGGUUUCACAGGAACCUGUCUUCGUUCUUUCAAAGAUGCAGCCCUGAGCAACAACAGCCCUGAACCAAUUUGUUCCUUAUUCCUUGAAUUAUUUCAGUUCUUACAAAAUCCUGUAAAUUCUGUUUGCUGUCCUGCCGCAGUUUGCGUCAGACUGGAGCUGAACAACCUGGGAAGUAAUGCCAGGGGGUGUUUAGUAACAAGCAAAUAAUCCAGCUCGCUGCUGGCACCCAGCACUCAGGCUCCCAUUCCAGAGUCUAUAUUUAAAAUGGUUAUCUGCUUAUGCUGAGUGCUGCUGGAGAACUCCUUAAAAGACUGACUGUUGAAAAGUUCAGUGGCUGCUUUUGGCAGGGAAGCAGUAUGGCCAUGGGGUGAUCUGUGUGCCCCAGGCCAUGUGCAGAGGGAGCUGAGCCCAGCAGCCCCUGGGGAUGAGGUGAUGGCCAGCUAUGGCCACGCUCUGCAAAUAGCUGGGUCAGUAGCUGGCAGCAGCCACAAGUGUCAUUUGCUUUCCUCAGGAAUCUGCUGCAUCCUGACUGCCAAGCAGCCCUUCUAUAGAGAACUCUGAUAAUAAAAUACCUUUUGUAAUCUCUGUGCUGGGCUACUGCAGCCAAAAUUACUUUUAACCUUCAUGUCACCCAGCCUGGAUUGCUACGUGUGGUAUGAAAUACCAAUGUGUGCAUUUGGCAGCUGGGGGUGGGGCAGAGAACCUGUGACCUGUCCAGCAUCAGAGCCAGCAACUCCAAUGCCCUUCACGUCCCAGCUUUGGCUCCCUUGUUCCAGCACAAAGGACUCUGGUGCUGUGUAGUGUUGAAGCUUCAUUCCCACACUAAUCCCACUGUAGCUGGUGCAAGAGAGACCAUCAAGUGUUUGAGUCUCUCAGUUUUACAUGGUGUGAAGCAGCAAGAAGCCAGUCUGUUGGAGGAUGGAGUGGACAGGAAUGUCCUUUGGGAUUGCUGGCAUUUGCAUCUGGAUUUCCAUUUGCCUUGUAGCUGCAUCACACAGAGUAUAGCCUCCACUUCCAGCAAGGCAAGGAUGAAGGUCAUAAACCAUUCCCCAGAGCACAUCAGCCUGGCAUCACAUUUAUUUGAGAGGCUGGGAUGGAGCUGUUCCAGAGCUGGCUGCCAGCAGGGAGCUGGAUAUCUCCCAGCUGAUCACAGCCUGCUCUCCGAGCUGCCAUCCAUGGCCUCCUUCCAGCUACGGCAAAAUAAAAACCAAACAGUGUUUGUCUCUCACUAACCUGCCUCUUCCUUCCAGGGGCUGACAGCAGCAGUCAGUGCUGUGGAUUUAUGGCAGGGUGGCUGAGGGAGCUGGUUCCCAUCCCCAGUGCCAGGCUGGGACCUGUCAGGGGCUGCUGAGGGGCUGCUGGCCAGUGCCCAACCAGCUUCUCGAGUGCCUUGAGGUGCUUCUGCUGCUCUGGGAGCAGGGCAGAUGCAGUGCCAGGCCCUGGCUUCAGCCUGGAGAGCGUGGUGGGCUCAUGAGAGGGCUCUACAUUGCAGGUCCCAGGCUCCAGCAUGUGUGGACUGUGCUCAGAAGCAGGUGUGAACUCAGUGCCCCAUAAUUUAUGAGAAAAUGCAUACUAAAACCUCUGAGGCUAAAUCAAACUGGGUUGUUCUUUAGGUAAAACAAAAAUUGCUAUUUUCCAUGAGUCCAAACUGCUAUCCACUUAUUUACUUUCCAUGGCUAAAUUGAAUCUGCUCUGUACAUUGCCAGUUGCCAGUUUGUCAAUGCAGUGCAGAACCAGAUGGAUGCAGAGCAGCCCCUGGAUGAGGACCAUGUCCCCAGUUUUAAUCAGCCAGUUAACACAGAGCAGUUCUUCCCAGACAUCAGGCCUUUCCCCAGUCAGGCAUCCCAGCUGGCCAGGCAGGCUGUGGGGCUUGGGAGGAGAGCUCAGUGAAGGGCAGGCUCUGCCCAGCAGCACACAGGUCCUGCAGCAGGGGAGCUGUGCAUGUAUGGAUCUCGUUUGUGCAUGUAUGUAUCUCAGUGUAUCUCAUUUCCUUGCUUUUCUCAUGAGUGUUCCCGAUGAUUUGGGUUCUGAGGAUGCCAGUGUAACCAGUGUCUUCUAUAACUCCAGUUUCUCUUUUUUCCACACUCAGAAGAUGAGACACAUUUGUUCUCCAGGUCCUUGAAACAGUCAUAAGUCUUAUGCUCAUCCAUGAAUGUCCCAGAUGUUCACUACAUCACUUGACUUUUAUGAUGAGUGAUAAAUAAUAGGAGGAGAUGGAGUGCUUAAAGUGAAAUAAUUGACUGGAGUCAGUGGCCUGACUCCCCUGGAACUCAGGCCAUUUUCUGGAGUAUCAGGAUGCCCAGCUCCUUUAACAAUCAGCCCCUGUACAAUUUUUGUCCAAGACUAAAUAAAGAGAUGUAUUUUC